CAAUAGCGUAUAUUAAAGUUGUUGCAGUUAAAAAGCUCGUAGUUGGAUUUCUGGUGGGAGCGAUCGGUCUGGCGCUUAGCGCGAGUACUUGCAUCGUCUCCGGCCAUCCUUGGGGAGAGUCUGUCUGGCAUUAGGUUGUCGGGCAGAGGAUCCUCAUCGUUUACUGUGAAAAAAUUAGAGUGUUCAAAGCAGGCUUAUGCCGUUGAAUAUGUUAGCAUGGAAUAAUAAGAUAGGACUUUGGUACUAUUUUGUUGGUUUGCGCACCAAAGUAAUGAUUAAUAGGGACAGUUGGGGGUAUUCGUAUUCCGUUGUCAGAGGUGAAAUUCUUGGAUUUACGGAAGACGAACUACUGCGAAAGCAUUUACCAAGGAUGUUUUCAUUAA
This 383-nucleotide ribosomal RNA is filed under the name uncultured eukaryote. RNAcentral describes it as "partial 18S ribosomal RNA". It matches the Rfam family "Eukaryotic small subunit ribosomal RNA", at positions 592 to 976 of the family's 1831-position model. The record is from RNAcentral.